Molecule: ribosomal RNA, 1828 nt
Filed under: Antricoccus suffuscus
Lineage: Bacteria; Bacillati; Actinomycetota; Actinomycetes; Geodermatophilales; Antricoccaceae
Description: bacterial SSU rRNA
Rfam family: Bacterial small subunit ribosomal RNA (bases 302-1826)
Source: RNAcentral
GUGCGUCCGAACCUUGAGAACUCAACAGCGUACUUGAAAGUCAGUGCCAAAUUAUUUAACCCCUGGUGCUGGACCUGUUUUCUUGUUGUGCCUCCUGUGUGGGGUGUGGUGAGUGGUCUAGUUGAUGGGAUUCCUUUGGUAUAUAUGCGAUACGCCAGUAUCGCGUACAUGCCAGUAUCAAUAUGGCCCGACACGCCUACUGCCGCGUAAACAUUUUGUGUUUGGGUGGCGGGUGGUUGGUGGGGUUUCUUCAUGUAUGUCACUGAACCCGGCCCCUGUGGGGUUGGUUUGGUAAUAAUCAUUCACGGAGAGUUUGAUCCUGGCUCAGGACGAACGCUGGCGGCGUGCUUAACACAUGCAAGUCGAACGAUGACCCGGAGCUUGCUCUGGUGAUUAGUGGCGAACGGGUGAGUAACACGUGGGCAACCUGCCCCUAGCUCUGGGAUAACUGCGGGAAACUGUAGCUAAUACCGGAUGUGACACGAGACUGCAUGGUCUUUGUGUGGAAAGAUUUUUCGGCUAGGGAUGGGCCCGCGGUCUAUCAGCUUGUUGGUGGGGUAAUGGCUCACCAAGGCGACGACGGAUAACCGGCCUGAGAGGGCGACCGGUCACACUGGGACUGAGACACGGCCCAGACUCCUACGGGAGGCAGCAGUGGGGAAUAUUGCACAAUGGGCGCAAGCCUGAUGCAGCGACGCCGCGUGAGGGAUGACGGCCUUCGGGUUGUAAACCUCUUUCAGUUCCGACGAAGCGAAAGUGACGGUAGGAGCAGAAGAAGCGCCGGCCAACUACGUGCCAGCAGCCGCGGUAAUACGUAGGGCGCAAGCGUUGUCCGGAAUUAUUGGGCGUAAAGAGCUCGUAGGCGGUUUGUUACGUCGGCUGUGAAAUCCCGAGGCUUAACCUCGGGCUUGCAGUCGAUACGGGCAGACUAGAGUGGAGCAGGGGAGACUGGAAUUCCUGGUGUAGCGGUGAAAUGCGCAGAUAUCAGGAGGAACACCGAUGGCGAAGGCAGGUCUCUGGGCUUUAACUGACGCUGAGGAGCGAAAGCGUGGGUAGCGAACAGGAUUAGAUACCCUGGUAGUCCACGCCGUAAACGGUGGGCGCUAGGUGUGGGGACCAUUCCACGGUUUCCGUGCCGCAGCUAACGCAUUAAGCGCCCCGCCUGGGGAGUACGGCCGCAAGGCUAAAACUCAAAGGAAUUGACGGGGGCCCGCACAAGCGGCGGAGUAUGUUGCUUAAUUCGAUGCAACGCGAAGAACCUUACCAAGGCUUGACAUAUACCGAAAACUCGUAGAGAUACGGGGUCCGUAAGGGCGGUAUACAGGUGGUGCAUGGUUGUCGUCAGCUCGUGUCGUGAGAUGUUGGGUUAAGUCCCGCAACGAGCGCAACCCUCGUUCUAUGUUGCCAGCACGUUAUGGUGGGGACUCAUAGGAGACCGCCGGGGUCAACUCGGAGGAAGGUGGGGAUGACGUCAAAUCAUCAUGCCCCUUAUGUCUUGGGCUGCAAACAUACUACAAUGGCCGGUACAAAGGGCUGCGAUACCGCAAGGUGGAGCGAAUCCCAAAAAGCCGGUCUCAGUUCGGAUUGGGGUCUGCAACUCGACCCCAUGAAGUCGGAGUCGCUAGUAAUCGCAGAUCAGCAACGCUGCGGUGAAUACGUUCCCGGGCCUUGUACACACCGCCCGUCAAGUCACGAAAGUCGGUAACACCCGAAGCCGGUGGCCUAACCCCCUUGUGGGGAGGGAGCUGUCGAAGGUGGGACUGGCGAUUGGGACUAAGUCGUAACAAGGUAGCCGUACCGGAAGGUGCGGCUGGAUCACCUCCUUUCU